GUCCUUGUAGCUUAUAGCCGAAAGCAUGACUCUGAAGAAGCCAAGAAGGUUGCCCCCCACACCCCGAGGACA
RNAcentral lists this transfer RNA (72 nucleotides) under Malacoptila fusca (white-chested puffbird). Its description in RNAcentral is "tRNA-Phe". Lineage: Eukaryota; Metazoa; Chordata; Aves; Piciformes; Bucconidae. The record is from RNAcentral.